RNAcentral lists this ribosomal RNA (643 nucleotides) under uncultured microorganism. RNAcentral describes it as "bacterial SSU rRNA". It matches the Rfam family "Bacterial small subunit ribosomal RNA", at positions 168 to 809 of the family's 1533-position model. The record is from RNAcentral.
ACCCCAUGGUAUUAUUGAUUCGCAUGGAUUAAUAAUUAAAGAUUUAUCGGUAGAAGAUGGCUAUGCGUCCUAUUAGCUAGUAGGUAUGGUAACGGCAUACCUAGGCGACGAUAGGUAGGGGCCCUGAGAGGGGGAUCCCCCACACUGGUACUGAGACACGGACCAGACUCCUACGGGAGGCAGCAGUGAGGAAUAUUGGGCAAUGGAGGCAACUCUGACCCAGCCAUGCCGCGUGCAGGAAGACUGCCCUAUGGGUUGUAAACUGCUUUUAUACAGGAAGAAACAGUCCUACGUGUAGGGCCUUGACGGUACUGUAAGAAUAAGGAUCGGCUAACUCCGUGCCAGCAGCCGCGGUAAUACGGAGGAUCCAAGCGUUAUCCGGAAUCAUUGGGUUUAAAGGGUCCGUAGGUGGAUUAAUAAGUCAGAGGUGAAAUCCUGCAGCUCAACUGUAGAACUGCCUUUGAUACUGUUAAUCUUGAGUCAUUAUGAAGUAGUUAGAAUGAGUAGUGUAGCGGUGAAAUGCAUAGAUAUUACUCAGAAUACCGAUUGCGAAGGCAGAUUACUAAUAAUGUACUGACACUGAGGGACGAAAGCGUGGGGAGCGAACAGGAUUAGAUACCCUGGUAGUCCACGCCGUAAACGA